This 275-nucleotide ribosomal RNA is filed under the name uncultured bacterium. RNAcentral's name for it is "partial 16S ribosomal RNA". It matches the Rfam family "Bacterial small subunit ribosomal RNA", at positions 79 to 353 of the family's 1533-position model. The record is from RNAcentral.
CUAAGUUUGAUGGCGACCGGCGCACGGGUGAGUAACACGUAUCCAACCUGCCGAUGACUCGGGGAUAGCCUUUCGAAAGAAAGAUUAAUACCCGAUGGCAUAGUUCUUCCGCAUGGUAGAACUAUUAAAGGAUUUCGGUCAUCGAUGGGGAUGCGUUCCAUUAGGUUGUUGGCGGGGUAACGGCCCACCAAGCCUUCGAUGGAUAGGGGUUCUGAGAGGAAGGUCCCCCACAUUGGGACUGAGACACGGUCCAAACUCCUACGGGAGGCAGCAUG